RNAcentral lists this unclassified non-coding RNA (21 nucleotides) under Mus musculus (house mouse). RNAcentral's name for it is "oocyte_clustered_small_RNA9393". The record is from RNAcentral. Lineage: Eukaryota; Metazoa; Chordata; Mammalia; Rodentia; Muridae.
CACGGUAGGAUUGUUAUUUGG